ACAAAGUCUUCAAGAAGACUCAUGUGGGCCCCACAUGCCACAUGGCAGCCCAUGAUUGGAGAAAAGGGGUGUGUUGGACCAAUGAAACCUUGACAUGUGUCACCACUUAGAUCUUGACAUUUGUCGCCACUUAGGGCUUGACACGUGUCACCACUUAGGGGAUGACAUGUGUCACCCCUAAAGUAGUAUAUAUAUAUAUAUAUAUAUGAGUCUUAUGACUCAUUAAUUUCCACACCUAUCUAGAAAAUUCAAGACUAACAAAACGAAAUUACAUGAGAAAGAAAGAAGAGAAGAGAAAAGAAAUUAAGGUAGAAAGAAGGAAAGAGCUACGAUUUUGGGAGGAGAAAAAGCCCAAAACGUUACCAAACAGUUCCUAAGUUUCAGCUGCGCUAAAGGAAAUUCCGAGGCAAGUUUUGGCGAAUUUCGGGAAAGGUUCAAGAGACGACGAGGCGAGCAUAGUUAAGAGUAAUCCGUAAGAGGUACGUAAAGCGAACCUUUCUUUCUUUUGGCAUGUCUUUGUCAUAAGUACGUAAAGCGAAC
Long non-coding RNA from Solanum dulcamara, 540 nucleotides. RefSeq lists it as uncharacterized. The record is from RefSeq and is a predicted model, not a curated record. Lineage: Eukaryota; Viridiplantae; Streptophyta; Magnoliopsida; Solanales; Solanaceae. The transcript has 3 exons.